AUACGGAGGGUGCAAGCGUUACUCGGAAUCACUGGGCGUAAAGCGCGCGCAGGCGGCCUUUUAAGUUGGAUGUGAAAGCCUAUGGCUCAACCAUAGAACUGCAUCCAAAACUAUUGGGCUAGAGUGUGGGAGAGGAAGAUGGAAUUAGUUGUGUAGGGGUAAAAUCCGUAGAGAUAACUAGGAAUACCAAAAGCGAAGGCAAUCUUCUGGAACAUUACUGACGCUGAGGCGCGGAAGCGUGGGGAGCAAACAGGAUUAGAUACCCUGGUAGUCCACGCCCUAAACGAUGAAUGUUAGUCGUCGGGAAGCUAGCCUUUUCGGUGAUGCAGCUAACGCAUUAAACAUUCCGCCUGGGGAGUACGGUCGCAAGAUUAAA
This 376-nucleotide ribosomal RNA is filed under the name uncultured bacterium. RNAcentral's name for it is "bacterial SSU rRNA". It matches the Rfam family "Bacterial small subunit ribosomal RNA", at positions 523 to 898 of the family's 1533-position model. The record is from RNAcentral.